GGUCUAGGCGGCUCGGUAAGUGGGGAGUGAAACCCUUCGGCUCAACCGAAGGCCUGCUUUCCAAACUGCCGAACUUGAGUCCGGGAGGGGAGACGGGAAUUCCUGGUGUAGCGGUGAAAUGCGCAGAUAUCAGGAGGAACACCGGUGGCGAAGGCGCGUCUCUGGACCGGUACUGACGCUGAAGCCCGAAAGCGUGGGGAGCAAACA
RNAcentral lists this ribosomal RNA (207 nucleotides) under uncultured bacterium. RNAcentral describes it as "partial 16S ribosomal RNA". It matches the Rfam family "Bacterial small subunit ribosomal RNA", at positions 568 to 774 of the family's 1533-position model. The record is from RNAcentral.